UGGCCCUCUCUCUCAAAAUCAAUAAGCUUAAAAAAAAAAAAAAAAGAAAAGAAAAAGAAAAUGUCCUUUAAAUAAAAAUAAAAAUGAGUUUUCUUUUAGAGAGAACAUAUCAAAUUAUGCUUGAAGUGACAUGAUGUGAUGUCUGGGGUUUGCUUCAAAAUAACCAGGGGAUAAUUCAAAGGACUGGCCAUGAGUUUAUCAUUUCUGAAGCUGAGUGAUGGGUCCAUGGGGUUCAUGAUUUUAUUCUAUGUGGUAUGCGUGUUUGGAAUUCUCUAUAAUAUAUAUAUAUAUAUGUUCAUAUUUUUUUUUUUUUAAGUAGCCAAGGAAGUAGAUGACUGCCUUGCAAAUUUCAGUUCUCCUAUUUAGUGUGUGACCUUAGACAAGUGACUCUACCUUCCUGGUCCAGCUUCCUCCCCUGAAAAAUGGUGAUAAUCAUAUCUACUUCAUACCAGUGCCUGGAGCCCGGGGGGCACUCUGUGCCCACACGCACAUCCGUUCCUUCUUUGGGCUGGGCUCUCCAGCUGUCUUCUGUUGUCAGCACUAUGGAGAGGCCCACAUGGCAAGGAGCUGAGGGGCCCAACCAACAGCCAUGUGAAGGCGCCAUCUUGGAAGUGGCUCCUCCAGCCCCAGUUGGACCUUCAGAUGACCUCAGCCUUGGCUAAUCACUUGACUGCAGCCUCAUGAGACCCAGAACCAGAACCACUCAGCUAAGCUGCUCCCACACUGCUGACCUUCACAGUGUGAGAUAAUAAAUGUUUGCUGUCUGAA
Felis catus (domestic cat) is the source of this 768-nucleotide long non-coding RNA. RefSeq lists it as uncharacterized. The record is from RefSeq and is a predicted model, not a curated record. The transcript is spliced from 2 exons. Lineage: Eukaryota; Metazoa; Chordata; Mammalia; Carnivora; Felidae.